This 497-nucleotide ribosomal RNA is filed under the name uncultured bacterium. Its description in RNAcentral is "partial 16S ribosomal RNA". It matches the Rfam family "Bacterial small subunit ribosomal RNA", at positions 28 to 507 of the family's 1533-position model. The record is from RNAcentral.
GACGAACGCUGGCGGCGUGCCUAAUACAUGCAAGUUGAGCGCUGAAGGUUGGUACUUGUACCAACUGGAUGAGCAGCGCACGGGUGAGUAACGCGUGGGGAAUCUGCCUUUGAGCGGGGGACAACAUUUGGAAACGAAUGCUAAUACCGCAUAAAAACUUUAAACACAAGUUUUAAGUUUGAAAGAUGCAAUUGCAUCACUCAAAGAUGAUCCCGCGUUGUAUUAGCUAGUUGGUGAGGUAAAGGCUCACCAAGGCGAUGAUACAUAGCCGACCUGAGAGGGUGAUCGGCCACAUUGGGACUGAGACACGGCCCAAACUCCUACGGGAGGCAGCAGUAGGGAAUCUUCGGCAAGAGACGAAAGUCUGACCGAGCAACGCCGCGUGAGUGAAGAAGGUUUUCGGAUCGUAAAACUCUGUUGGUAGAGAAGAACGUUGGUGAGAGUGGAAAGCUCAUCAAGUGACGGUAACUACCCAGAAAGGGACGGCUAACUACGUG